Long non-coding RNA from Silurus meridionalis, 694 nucleotides. RefSeq lists it as uncharacterized. Lineage: Eukaryota; Metazoa; Chordata; Actinopteri; Siluriformes; Siluridae. The transcript is spliced from 2 exons. The record is from RefSeq and is a predicted model, not a curated record.
CCGUUGCCAAAUUCACACAUUUAACACUCUAAUUACAUUAUCAGUCCAUACACACUGCACACUGCAGGCUUACACACGGCUUACACACCACUGCCAAAGAUCUGGCUCAGAUACAAAGCAAUCUCCAUGCUCGCAGAAAAUGGUAGUAAAGAACGAUUCAAAGUGCAGGAAAUGAAGAAGGGAGAAGAAGCAUCGUAAACACGUGGCAUCAUAAACACAGUAAACAGAGAAACCUCACAAUCUCGAUGAUGGCUGAAACACAAAAACAGGGUUCAAAAUUGGCAGCUUGGUGGCACCUCAAAACCUUCCUAUCAGACGUCCAACAUCUCAACUGCUGAUCUACCCACCUCCACCUGACAUGGAACAUGUUUUUUUAAGCCCCAGAUAUAAAGUGUGUGACAUCAUUUCAUUACCAAACAUUUAACAAAAAAAAAGACACCAGACAUCAAUUUGCAGUAGACCAGGAGUCAGGAACCUGUUUAAAGGACAGCCAUUGUCAGUGUCAGGAAAUUAUUGUUUCCAUUAGUUAGACACUAGUUUGGAUUUAUGGCUGGUGGGCUUCAUGAUGAUGUCAUGUGUUACUCCAGGUACAUAUUCACUAGCUCCAGAAUUAAGCACGAUUUUUGCAACAUUUUAAGCAUAUUGUUCUUCCAUGAUGCUCUGCAUUAAAUCCAUGGCUUCUGUCUGAAACAUU